RNAcentral lists this transfer RNA (73 nucleotides) under Bos taurus (domestic cattle). It matches the Rfam family "tRNA". Rfam says of the family: Transfer RNA (tRNA) molecules are approximately 80 nucleotides in length. The record is from Rfam by way of RNAcentral. RNAcentral also lists the same sequence under 4 other names. Lineage: Eukaryota; Metazoa; Chordata; Mammalia; Artiodactyla; Bovidae.
UCCCUGGCAGUCCAGUGGUUAAGACUCCACCCUUCCACUGUAGAGGGUGCAGGUUUGAUCCCUGUUUGGGGAA